UUUUCUGGUUGAUCCCGCCAGAGGUUACUGCUAUCGGUGUUCGCCUAAGCCAUGCGAGUCAUAUGUUCUUCGUGAACAUGGCGUACUGCUCAGUAACACGUGGAUAACCUGCCCUUGGGUCUGGGAUAACCCCGGGAAACUGGGGAUAAUACCGGAUAACGCAUAUAUGCUGGAAUGCUUUAUGCGUAAAAUGGAUUCGUCUGCCCAAGGAUGGGUCUGCGGCCUAUCAGGUAGUAGUGGGUGUAAUGUACCUACUAGCCUACAACGGGUACGGGUUGUGAGAGCAAGAGCCCGGAGAUGGAUUCUGAGACAUGAAUCCAGGCCCUACGGGGCGCAGCAGGCGCGAAAACUUUACAAUGCGGGAAACCGUGAUAAGGGGACACCGAGUGCCAGCAUCAUAUGCUGGCUGUCCAGAUGUGUAAAAUACAUCUGUUAGCAAGGGCCGGGCAAGACCGGUGCCAGCCGCCGCGGUAACACCGGCGGCCCGAGUGGUGAUCGUGAUUAUUGGGUCUAAAGGGUCCGUAGCCGGUUUGGUCAGUCCUCCGGGAAAUCUGAUGGCUCAACCAUUAGGCUUUCGGGGGAUACUGCCAGGCUUGGAACCGGGAGAGGUAAGAGGUACUACAGGGGUAGGAGUGAAAUCUUGUAAUCCCUGUGAGACCACCUGUGGCGAAGGCGUCUUACCAGAACGGGUUCGACGGUGAGGGACGAAAGCUGGGGGCACGAACCGGAUUAGAUACCCGGGUAGUCCCAGCCGUAAACGAUGCUCGCUAGGUGUCAGGCAUGGCGCGACCGUGUCUGGUGCCGCAGGGAAGCCGUGAAGCGAGCCACCUGGGAAGUACGGCCGCAAGGCUGAAACUUAAAGGAAUUGGCGGGA
Molecule: ribosomal RNA, 874 nt
Filed under: uncultured archaeon
Lineage: Archaea
Description: bacterial SSU rRNA
Rfam family: Archaeal small subunit ribosomal RNA
Source: RNAcentral